RNAcentral lists this ribosomal RNA (469 nucleotides) under uncultured bacterium. Its description in RNAcentral is "partial 16S ribosomal RNA". It matches the Rfam family "Bacterial small subunit ribosomal RNA", at positions 28 to 507 of the family's 1533-position model. The record is from RNAcentral.
GAUGAACGCUGGCGGCGUGCUUAACACAUGCAAGUCGAACGGUGAACACGGAGCUUGCUCUGUGGGAUCAGUGGCGAACGGGUGAGUAACACGUGAGCAACCUGCCCCUGACUCUGGGAUAAGCGCUGGAAACGGCGUCUAAUACUGGAUAUGUGACGUGACCGCAUGAUCUGCGUUUGGAAAGAUUUUUCGGUUGGGGAUGGGCUCGCGGCCUAUCAGCUUGUUGGUGAGGUAAUGGCUCACCAAGGCGUCGACGGGUAGCCGGCCUGAGAGGGUGACCGGCCACACUGGGACUGAGACACGGCCCAGACUCCUACGGGAGGCAGCAGUGGGGAAUAUUGCACAAUGGGCGCAAGCCUGAUGCAGCAACGCCGCGUGAGGGAUGACGGCCUUCGGGUUGUAAACCUCUUUUAGCAGGGAAGAAGCGAAAGUGACGGUACCUGCAGAAAAAGCGCCGGCUAACUACGUG